Molecule: transfer RNA, 89 nt
Filed under: Numidum massiliense
Lineage: Bacteria; Bacillati; Bacillota; Bacilli; Caryophanales; Bacillaceae
Description: Selenocysteine transfer RNA
Rfam family: Selenocysteine transfer RNA
Source: RNAcentral
GCGGGUGAGUAGCUGGUGCGCUCCCUGGUCUUCAAAACCAUGCGAGGGGCCGGUUCGGUCCUUGGUGGGUUCGAUUCCCACACGCUCCC